Molecule: ribosomal RNA, 427 nt
Filed under: uncultured bacterium
Lineage: Bacteria
Description: partial 16S ribosomal RNA
Rfam family: Bacterial small subunit ribosomal RNA
Source: RNAcentral
UGGGGAAUAUUGGACAAUGGGCGAAAGCCUGAUCCAGCCAUGCCGCGUGUGUGAAGAAGGUCUUCGGAUUGUAAAGCACUUUAAGUUGGGAGGAAGGGCAUUAACCUAAUACGUUAGUGUUUUGACGUUACCGACAGAAUAAGCACCGGCUAACUCUGUGCCAGCAGCCGCGGUAAUACAGAGGGUGCAAGCGUUAAACGGAAUUACUGGGCGUAAAGCGCGCGUAGGUGGUAUGUUAAGUUGGAUGUGAAAUCCCCGGGCUCAACCUGGGAACUGCAUUCAAAACUGACUGACUAGAGUAUGGUAGAGGGUGGUGGAAUUUCCUGUGUAGCGGUGAAAUGCGUAGAUAUAGGAAGGAACACCAGUGGCGAAGGCGACCACCUGGACUAAUACUGACACUGAGGUGCGAAAGCGUGGGGAGCAAACA